GCUUACGGCAUACCAGCCUGAAUACGCCCGAUCUCGUCCGAUCUCGGAAGCUAAGCAGGGUCGGGCCUGGUUAGUACUUGGAUGGGAGACCGCCUGGGAAUACCAGGUGCUGUAAGCA
RNAcentral lists this ribosomal RNA (118 nucleotides) under Oncorhynchus kisutch (coho salmon). Lineage: Eukaryota; Metazoa; Chordata; Actinopteri; Salmoniformes; Salmonidae. The record is from RNAcentral.